UCAUUAUCGAGUCCCGAACCCGUCGAGGGGGGCGUAGAACCUCCCCUCGUCGGUCCCUCACGUCUUUCCCGUGCACCCAUCGUAGGUCCUCGGAAAAGGGGCCCUACGUACGUCCUCUCGACCUUUGAAAGUGUAGACUGCGGCGGCGAUGCCUUUGAUAACUUUCAGCGACGGAUCUCUUGGCUCUCGCAUCGAUGAAGAACGUAGCGAAUCGCGAUAAGUAAUGUGAAUUGCAGAUCUCCCGUGAAUCAUCGAAUCUUUGAACGCACCUUGCGCUCCUCGGUAAUCCGAGGAGCAUGCCUGUCUGAGGGUCUUGGUACUCUCGAGUCCGGAAUCCGUCGCGAUUCCGGGUUCGGAACUUGGGAGCUCUGCGGGCGUUCGUUCGGACGUCGGCUCUCCUGAAACGCAUCAGCGAAGGGAUGGCACGGAACCUGGCGUGGCACGCCUCGACGUCGCAAGGAUCGUCGUGGGUGCAGGCGAGGCGUCGUCCCGCGCUUCCAGCGUCCGGCGGGCUUAAGCCGCCGUCGAAGGUCGGACCUCAGAUCAGGCAGGACCACCCGCCGAACUUAAGCAUA
RNAcentral lists this ribosomal RNA (575 nucleotides) under Gyroporus pseudolacteus. RNAcentral describes it as "eukaryotic LSU rRNA". The stretch from base 160 to 314 matches the Rfam family "5.8S ribosomal RNA". The record is from RNAcentral. Lineage: Eukaryota; Fungi; Basidiomycota; Agaricomycetes; Boletales; Gyroporaceae.